CCUGAUCGCUGGGUCCAUAAUAAGCCUGGGACACAUGAUAAAGCCGCUGGAUCUGGGUGUGGCUCAGUAUUCUGUAACGAAGGGAGAGGCAGAGGAUGUUUUGGGGGGGGCUGGGGGGGGGGCUGGGCAUUACCGACAAGCUCCGGUGGCUGUGGAGCUUGGUCGAUCACAGAUCAAUGCACCUUCCACUCUGGUGAUUGCUACUCCGGUUAUCAAGCCCGUACCUGUAAUGUCGGCAACAGCAGAUCCUAUCCACAUCAUUUCAGUUUUCAUUUAGGAGCGUCUGGAAGCCACUUCUUAAGGUGGGGCGGGGGGCUCAUUAUCUCUGAUUGCAUUCACAUGUGUCUUGUUAUGUCAUCUGUCUCACCCUAUUUAAAGCCUGGUUUGUUACUUCCACAUGGCUCAGUAUUGUUUAGCCUUUGUUUAGCCUGUGUAGCCCUAGUUCCUGUGUUAUCUUAUUUCUGUUCGUUUGCUGCCUGCCCUGACCAUUGCUCGUUUCUUGGAUUACUCUUUUGUCUGCCCUGGAUUAUACCUGUUUGGUGCUGUUUGACCCUGCCUGUUUUGAACACUUUUGCAAUAAAGCCUGCAUUUGGAUACUCUUAUUUGGAUUUGGAGUUGUCACGCUCCCCACGUUACAGAUGGCAGGGUUACAUCUCACAGUUGUGACUUUCUCUUAGAUUUAGUAUCAUAGAUUUAUUUGACAUAUUUGCAGCCCUAUAUCUUACAUUUGCAGCCUAAUGUCUCAAAAUUGCAACUUAAAUUUUUCACAAUGUGUGUUUAUAUCUUACAAUUGUGACUUUGUUUCUCACAAUUGCCACUUUCUGGAAUUGUGACUUAAUAUCUCACAAUUAUAACACUGUUUCUUUCAAUUUUGACAUCUCACAGUUUUGACUUUGUUUCUUGUAGUUGCGACUUUGUUUAAUUACAAUGUUUCUUGGAAUUUUGACUUCAUAUCUCACAAUAACGAAAUUUUUUCUUUCGAUUUUGACAGACAACUCACAGUUUUGACUAAAUAUUGCCUAAAUAUUCAAUAUUUUUGUGGCACUUCUGCUGCCAAUAAGAAGCACAGUAAACAACUGAGCCAUUGUUCAUUCACAGAAUUGGUUUUAUUUUAGUUUAUUUUUAUAUUGUUUCGCAGCACUGUGCUGAACUAAGACUAUGAGACUAGCAAGACUAUGUAUGCAUGUGUAUAUGUAUAGAGUGAGUACUCCAGGUUUCUGCAAUGAGUAACUGGUUAUUUUCUACAGCAAGUUACUUAUUGCUUGUUGCUAUAAGACCUUAAAACAAAAGUCUUUUACUUUUGACUUCAUAUCUCACAAUUACAAAUAUUUUUCUUUCGAUUCUGACAUAUCUCACAGUUUUGACUUUUUUUUUUUUUUUUUGUAAUUUCAACUUCCUGUCUCACAAUUACAACUUAAUUUCUAGUAAUUUUCUAGUGACUUAUAAUUUGACAUUGUUUCUAAUGAUUUUAAAUUUAUAUCUCACAAUUGUGGCUUUUUCAUAGUUGUGAUUUCAUGUCUAAUAAUUACUCAUGUCUCAUAAUAACUUUGUUUCUCAUAAUUGCAACUUUAUAUUUUAUAUUAAGAUUUGUUGAACUAUUGCUUAAUAUUGAGUGUGAGAUCUUGAUGGGUUUGAUCUAUUGGAUUACUGGAGAUCUAACAAACCCAUGAAAUAUUUUAAUGAAAAAAUUUUCUUUUCUGUCGACCUAAAAGGGUGAGAUCCCAAUGGGUUAGAUUCACUGGAGAAUGAUCUUUCAGUCAUUUUCUUGAGCAAUAUAUUAUGCAAAUGAAUGUGUAAUCUGAUUCAAGGCUUAAGUUCUUAAGAACCUCACAUGAUUUGUAAUAAUCAUCUCUUCUUUUGGCAGAGCACUCUCUAAUUCUAAUCAAACGCCCACAGGGACUAAUACAGUAGUUCCAGAAGAAACCGACAAACUGACUUCUUGUUCGCUUUGUUGGACAUUCAUAUCUGUAGUCAAAUAGGUAGUCUGCAUGUAAACCACAGCUUGGAUUCAAGAAUAGAGACUAAAACUCUUUGACAGAGACAUUUCGAGUGCCAAAUGUGAAAUAAAACAUUCAGGAAAGAUACUUCA
This is a long non-coding RNA of Cyprinus carpio (common carp), 2089 nucleotides long. The record is from Ensembl. NCBI's taxonomy places the organism in Eukaryota, Metazoa, Chordata, Actinopteri, Cypriniformes, Cyprinidae.